AUACGUAGGGUGCAAGCGUUAAUCGGAAUUACUGGGCGUAAAGCGUGCGCAGGCGGUUUUGUAAGACAGUGGUGAAAUCCCCGGGCUCAACCUGGGAACUGCCAUUGUUACUGCAAGGCUGGAGUGCGGCAGAGGGGGGUGGAAUUCCGCGUGUAGCAGUGAAAUGCGUAGAUAUGCGGAGGAACACCGAUGGCGAAGGCGAGCCCCGGUGGCUGACCUGACGCUAAUACACGGAAACGUGGGGGGAAAACAGGAUUAGAGACCCUGGUAGUCCACGCCCUAAACGAUGUCAACUGGUUGUUGGAGAUUUAGUUUCUCAGUACCGAAGCGAACGCGUGAAGUUGACCGCCUGGGGAGUACGGCCGCAAGGUUAAAACUCAAAUGAAUUGACGGGG
RNAcentral lists this ribosomal RNA (395 nucleotides) under uncultured bacterium. RNAcentral's name for it is "partial 16S ribosomal RNA". It matches the Rfam family "Bacterial small subunit ribosomal RNA", at positions 523 to 918 of the family's 1533-position model. The record is from RNAcentral.